AAUCCAUGCAUGGGGCAUUUCCACAACAAUUCUUUAAAUCUUUCCAAUGCUUCAUACAAGCUUUCAUCUUCCAACUGCUUGAAUGAAUUUAAAUCAUUACGAAGUAU
Molecule: small nucleolar RNA, 107 nt
Organism: Hibiscus syriacus
Lineage: Eukaryota; Viridiplantae; Streptophyta; Magnoliopsida; Malvales; Malvaceae
Source: RefSeq, a predicted model, not a curated record